This 2569-nucleotide ribosomal RNA is filed under the name Enterobacter ludwigii. RNAcentral's name for it is "partial 23S ribosomal RNA". Lineage: Bacteria; Pseudomonadati; Pseudomonadota; Gammaproteobacteria; Enterobacterales; Enterobacteriaceae. The record is from RNAcentral.
CGUGCUAAUCUGCGAAAAGCGCCGGCGAGGUGAUAUGAACCUUUGACCCGGCGAUGUCCGAAUGGGGAAACCCAGUGUGUUCCGACACACUAUCGUUAACUGAAUACAUAGGUUAACGAGGCGAACCGGGGGAACUGAAACAUCUAAGUACCCCGAGGAAAAGAAAUCAACCGAGAUUCCCCCAGUAGCGGCGAGCGAACGGGGAGCAGCCCAGAGUCUGAAUCAGCUUGUGUGUUAGUGGAAGCGUCUGGAAAGUCGCACGGUACAGGGUGAMAGUCCCGUACACGAAAGCACACAGGYUGUGAACUCGAAGAGUAGGGCGGGACACGUGGUAUCCUGUCUGAAUAUGGGGGGACCAUCCUCCAAGGCUAAAUACUCCUGACUGACCGAUAGUGAACCAGUACCGUGAGGGAAAGGCGAAAAGAACCCCGGCGAGGGGAGUGAAAAAGAACCUGAAACCGUGUACGUACAAGCAGUGGGAGCCUCUUUAUGGGGUGACUGCGUACCUUUUGUAUAAUGGGUCAGCGACUUAUAUUCUGUAGCAAGGUUAACCGUAUAGGGGAGCCGAAGGGAAACCGAGUCUUAACUGGGCGUUAAGUUGCAGGGUAUAGACCCGAAACCCGGUGAUCUAGCCAUGGGCAGGUUGAAGGUUGGGUAACACUAACUGGAGGACCGAACCGACUAAUGUUGAAAAAUUAGCGGAUGACUUGUGGCUGGGGGUGAAAGGCCAAUCAAACCGGGAGAUAGCUGGUUCUCCCCGAAAGCUAUUUAGGUAGCGCCUCGUGAAYUCAUCUUCGGGGGUAGAGCACUGUUUCGGCUAGGGGGCCAUCCCGGCUUACCAACCCGAUGCAAACUACGAAUACCGAAGAAUGUUAUCACGGGAGACACACGGCGGGUGCUAACGUCCGUCGUGAAGAGGGAAACAACCCAGACCGCCAGCUAAGGUCCCAAAGUCAUGGUUAAGUGGGAAACGAUGUGGGAAGGCACAGACAGCCAGGAUGUUGGCUUAGAAGCAGCCAUCAUUUAAAGAAAGCGUAAUAGCUCACUGGUCGAGUCGGCCUGCGCGGAAGAUGUAACGGGGCUAAACCAUGCACCGAAGCUGCGGCAGCGACACUAUGUGUUGUUGGGUAGGGGAGCGUUCUGUAAGCCGUUGAAGGUGUCCUGUGAGGGGUGCUGGAGGUAUCAGAAGUGCGAAUGCUGACAUAAGUAACGAUAAAGCGGGUGAAAAGCCCGCUCGCCGGAAGACCAAGGGUUCCUGUCCAACGUUAAUCGGGGCAGGGUGAGUCGACCCCUAAGGCGAGGCCGAAAGGCGUAGUCGAUGGGAAACAGGUUAAUAUUCCUGUACUUGGUGUUACUGCGAAGGGGGGACGGAGAAGGCUAUGUUAGCCGGGCGACGGUUGUCCCGGUUUAAGCAUGUAGGCGGAGGUUCCAGGUAAAUCCGGUUCCUUGUUAACGCUGAGGUGUGAUGACGAGGCACUACGGUGCUGAAGUAACAAAUGCCCUGCUUCCAGGAAAAGCCUCUAAGCAUCAGGUAACAUCAAAUCGUACCCCAAACCGACACAGGUGGUCAGGUAGAGAAUACCAAGGCGCUUGAGAGAACUCGGGUGAAGGAACUAGGCAAAAUGGUGCCGUAACUUCGGGAGAAGGCACGCUGAUAUGUAGGUGAAGCCCCUGCGGGUGGAGCUGAAAUCAGUCGAAGAUACCAGCUGGCUGCAACUGUUUAUUAAAAACACAGCACUGUGCAAACACGAAAGUGGACGUAUACGGUGUGACGCCUGCCCGGUGCCGGAAGGUUAAUUGAUGGGGUUAGCGGYAACGCGAAGCUCUUGAUCGAAGCCCCGGUAAACGGCGGCCGUAACUAUAACGGUCCUAAGGUAGCGAAAUUCCUUGUCGGGUAAGUUCCGACCUGCACGAAUGGCGUAAUGAUGGCCAGGCUGUCUCCACCCGAGACUCAGUGAAAUUGAACUCGCUGUGAAGAUGCAGUGUACCCGCGGCAAGACGGAAAGACCCCGUGAACCUUUACUAUAGCUUGACACUGAACACUGGUCCUUGAUGUGUAGGAUAGGUGGGAGGCUUUGAAGCGUGGACGCCAGUCUGCGUGGAGCCAACCUUGAAAUACCACCCUUUAAUGGCUGGUGUUCUAACGUAGACCCGURAUCCGGGUUGCGGACAGUGUCUGGUGGGUAGUUUGACUGGGGCGGUCUCCUCCCAAAGAGUAACGGAGGAGCACGAAGGUUAGCUAAUCCUGGUCGGACAUCAGGAGGUUAGUGCAAUGGCAUAAGCUAGCUUGACUGCGAGAGUUGAGGGGGGCUGCUCCUAGUACGAGAGGACCGGAGUGGACGCAUCACUGGUGUUCGGGUUGUCAUGCCAAUGGCACUGCCCGGUAGCUAAAUGCGGAAGAGAUAAGUGCUGAAAGCAUCUAAGCACGAAACUUGCCCCGAGAUGAGUUCUCCCUGAGACUUUAAGUCUCCUGAAGGAACGUUGAAGACUACGACGUUGAUAGGUCGGGUGUGUAAGCGCAGCGAUGCGUUGAGCUAACCGAUACUAAUGAACCGUGAGGCUUAACCUU